GGAUUAGGCAUGCAAGUCGAACGAGGAUAUAUCCUUCGGGAUAUAAGCCGAGUGGCACAAGGGUGAGCAAUGCAUAGAUUACCUACCUUUAGGAUAAGAACAACUUUGUGAAAACGGAGCUAAUACUUAAUAAUACAGAAGAAAAUAAUUUUCUUUUGUCAAAGGGAGGGUAGCAAUACCUUUCGCCUAGAGAGGGGUUUAUGUCCUAUCAGCUUGUUGGUGGGGUAAUAGCCUACCAAGGCGAAGACGGGUAGCCGGUUUAAGAGGAUGGUCGGCCACACUGGGACUGAGACACUGCCCAGACUUCUACGGAAGGCUGCAGUCGAGAAUCUUUCGCAAUGCCCGAAAGGGUGACGAAGCGACGCCGCGUGGGUGAAGAAGGCCUUCGGGUUGUAAAGCCCUGUCAGGAGUUAUGAAAUGUAAGUGCGCUAAUAUCGUGCUUAUUUGACAAAGGCUCCAAAGGAAGUCACGGCUAACUCUGUGCCAGCAGCCGCGGUAAUACAGAGGUGGCGAGCGUUGUUCGGAAUUAUUGGGCGUAAAGAGCACGUAGGUGGGUUUGCAAGUCAGAUGUGAAAGCCUUCUGUUCAACGGGAGAAUUGCAUCUGAAACUGCUAAUCUUGAGUAUAGGAGGGGAGAAUGGAACUUCUGGUGGAGCGGUGAAAUGCGUAGAUAUCAGAAGGAACGCCGGCGGCGAAAGCGAUUCUCUGGCCUAUUACUGACACUCAGUGUGCGAAAGCUAGGGGAGCAAACGGGAUUAGAUACCCCGGUAGUCCUAGCCGUAAACGAUGGGCACUAAGUAGAGGGGAUUACCUAUGUUCUCUCUGCCGUAGCUAACGCAUUAAGUGCCCCGCCUGGGGAGUACGGCCGCAAGGCUAAAACUCAAAAGAAUUGACGGGGGCUCGCACAAGCGGUGGAGCAUGCGGCUUAAUUCGAUGCAACGCGAAAAACCUUACCGGGGCUUGACAUGAUAGAAGUAGGAACCUGAAAGGGGGACGAACGGUAUCCAGUCCGUAGCUAUUACAGGUGUUGCAUGGCUGUCGUCAGCUCGUGUCGUGAGACGUUGGGUUAAGUCCCCUAACGAGCGAAACCCUUGUUUUUAGUUACCAGCGGGUUAUGCCGGGUACUCUAGAAAGACUGCCGUCGUCAAGACGGAGGAAGGUGGGGAUGACGUCAAGUCAUCAUGGCCCUUAUGCCCCGGGCUGCACACGUGCUACAAUGGUCGGUACAGACGGAAGCGAAGCCGAGAGGUGAAGCGAAUCCUAAAAAGCCGAUCUUAGUUCGGAUUGGAGGGCUGAAAUUCGCCUCCAUGAAAGUUGGAAUCGCUAGUAAUCGCGGAUCAGCAGUGUCGCGGUGAAUAUGUUCCCGAGCCUUGUACACACCGCCCGUCAAGCCACCCAAGCAGGAUGCACCCGAAAACAUUAUAYCUWRCYMRGGCAACUUGGAGGAAAAUGUUGAAGGAGUGUUUUGCGAGGAGGACUAAGUCGUAACAAGGUAGUCGUAGGAGAACCUGCGGCUGGAUCACCUCCUUUCUAAGGAGUAAAUCAAAGUAGGUACAUCCGACGUCUUUUAUGUUGUUAUUUGUUUUUUGAGUGUUUGGGGGUGCUGAACCGACUAAUAAGUAUGCUAUAAGUUAUUUUAAAAAUAAGUUGGAAAGAGGUCUAGGGCCUAUAGCUCAGUUGGUUUAGAGCGUUCCCCUGAUAAGGGAAAGGUCAGUGGUUCGAAUCCACUUAGGCCCACCAUCCUCAGAUUUAUUUAUAAUAGUAAAGUGAAUUGAUGAAUUUAUCUGGGGGUGUAGCUCAACUGGGAGAGCGCGGCCCUUGCAAGGCCGAGGUUAGCGGUUCGAUCCCGCUCAUCUCCAUAUUUUUUAUUAAUAAAGAUAGGAUAGUAGGUAGUUCUUUGCUGUAUUCAUGUAAAGAAGUAAAUGAAUAGCAUUAAUCGUUCUUUGGCAAUAAAAGCAAUUUUGAAACGGUGUAACUACAAUUAGAAAUUUGGGUGAUCAAGCUACUAAGGGUACAUGGUGGAUGUCUUGGUACCAAAAGCUGAUGAAGGACGUGGCGGGCUGCGAUAAGCUUCGGGGAGCUGCCAAACAAGCUUUGAUCCGGAGAAUUCCGAAUUGGGAAACCUGUCGUAGGAAACAUAUUGUGUUUCUUUUGGUUCAUACCGCGACAUUAUUUACUUGAAUAAAUAGGGUAAUAAGAGGAACGAAGGGAACUGAAACAUCUAAGACCUCAGAGAA
Molecule: ribosomal RNA, 2236 nt
Filed under: uncultured Planctomycetales bacterium
Lineage: Bacteria; Pseudomonadati; Planctomycetota; Planctomycetia; Planctomycetales
Description: bacterial SSU rRNA
Rfam family: Bacterial small subunit ribosomal RNA (bases 1-1529)
Source: RNAcentral